AUUGAACGCUGGCGGCAGGCCUAACACAUGCAAGUCGAGCGGAUGAAGGGAGCUUGCUCCUGGAUUCAGCGGCGGACGGGUGAGUAAUGCCUAGGAAUCUGCCUGGUAGUGGGGGAUAACGUCCGGAAACGGGCGCUAAUACCGCAUACGUCCUGAGGGAGAAAGUGGGGGAUCUUCGGACCUCACGGUAUCAGAUGAGCCUAGGUCGGAUUAGCUAGUUGGUGGGGUAAAGGCCUACCAAGGCGACGAUCCGUAACUGGUCUGAGAGGAUGAUCAGUCACACUGGAACUGAGACACGGUCCAGACUCCUACGGGAGGCAGCAGUGGGGAAUAUUGGACAAUGGGCGAAAGCCUGAUCCAGCCAUGCCGCGUGUGUGAAGAAGGUCUUCGGAUUGUAAAGCUCUUUAAGUUGGGAGGAAGGGCAGUAAGUUAAUACCUUGCUGUUUUGACGUUACCAACAGAAUAAGCACCGGCUAACUUCGUG
RNAcentral lists this ribosomal RNA (484 nucleotides) under uncultured bacterium. RNAcentral describes it as "partial 16S ribosomal RNA". It matches the Rfam family "Bacterial small subunit ribosomal RNA", at positions 30 to 507 of the family's 1533-position model. The record is from RNAcentral.